RNAcentral lists this ribosomal RNA (425 nucleotides) under uncultured bacterium. Its description in RNAcentral is "partial 16S ribosomal RNA". It matches the Rfam family "Bacterial small subunit ribosomal RNA", at positions 354 to 796 of the family's 1533-position model. The record is from RNAcentral.
GUGGGGAAUAUUGGGCAAUGGGCGAAAGCCUGACCCAGCAACGCCGCGUGAAGGAAGAAGGUUUUCGGAUCGUAAACUUCUAUCCUUGGUGAAGAUAAUGACGGUAGCCAAGAAGGAAGCCCCGGCUAACUACGUGCCAGCAGCCGCGGUAAUACGUAGGGGGCAAGCGUUGUCCGGAAUGAUUGGGCGUAAAGGGCGCGUAGGCGGCCCGGUAAGUCUGAAGUGAAAGUCCUGCUUUUAAGGUGGGAAUUGCUUUGGAUACUGUCGGGCUUGAGUGCAGGAGAGGUAAGUGGAAUUCCCGGUGUAGCGGUGAAAUGCGGAGAGAUCGGGAGGAACACCAGUGGCGAAGGCGACUUACUGGACUGUAACUGACGCUGAGGCGCGAAAGUGUGGGGAGCAAACAGGAUUAGAAACCCGAGUAGUCC